AUUGAACGCUGGCGGCAUGCUUUACACAUGCAAGUCGAGCGGCAGCGCGGGGGCAACCCUGGCGGCGAGCGGCGGACGGGUGAGUAAUGCAUCGGAACGUAUCCCGUAGUGGGGGACAACCCAGCGAAAGCUGGGCUAAUACCGCAUAUGCUCUACGGAGGAAAGCAGGGGACUCGCAAGAGCCUUGUGCUAUGGGAGCGGCCGAUGUCCGAUUAGCUAGUUGGUGGGUAAAGGCUUACCAAGGCGACGAUCGGUAGCUGGUCUGAGAGGAUGAUCAGCCACACUGGGACUGAGACACGGCCCAGACUCCUACGGAGGCAGCAGUGGGAAUUUUGGACAAUGGGGCAACCUGAUCCAGCCAUGCCGCGUGCGGGAAGAAGGCC
RNAcentral lists this ribosomal RNA (383 nucleotides) under uncultured bacterium. RNAcentral's name for it is "bacterial SSU rRNA". It matches the Rfam family "Bacterial small subunit ribosomal RNA", at positions 29 to 416 of the family's 1533-position model. The record is from RNAcentral.